Caerostris darwini is the source of this 86-nucleotide non-coding RNA. The record is from the annotation of a GenBank genome assembly. NCBI's taxonomy places the organism in Eukaryota, Metazoa, Arthropoda, Arachnida, Araneae, Araneidae.
ACUUCUCGUUAGAUCACCGAAGUCAAGCAUCAUUGGGCGCGGUCAGUACUUGGGUGGGUGACCACCAGGGAACACCGCGUGCCGUU